RNAcentral lists this unclassified non-coding RNA (439 nucleotides) under Hevea brasiliensis (rubber tree). The record is from RNAcentral. Lineage: Eukaryota; Viridiplantae; Streptophyta; Magnoliopsida; Malpighiales; Euphorbiaceae.
GGGGAAGUCAGUACUCGCAGAAUUGGGGGGGUUAUGGGGUGAAUGAUGGAUCUUCGUAUGCUCAGCAGAAUUACUCUCAGGUACACCAGGGUUCAAAUUAUCAGCAUCCUGGUUACGUUCCUCCACCUCCUGCCACCAGAAAUCAGUAUCCACCUCCGCCUCCUCCUCCUGCGGAUUCUUCAUAUCCACCUCCCCCACCACCUUCUGGGCAGCCUCCUCCCCCUCCUGCUCCAAUGUAUUAUCCAUCUUCUCAGGACUCCCAGUAUAGCCAAAACCAUCCCUUGGAGCCCCCACCUCCACCCCCUCCACCUUCAUCUCCUCCAACUUCUGCUAUUCCUCCUCCUCCCCCACCUUCUCAGCCACCGUCCCCUCCGCCACCUCCUUCAUCAGUUCCCCCUCAGAAACAACGUAAUGAAAGCAGGCACAGUGUAGAGAAAAG